UAAAGCAAAGCUUUUUAGUUAAGCGUUUCACUUACGUUGAAAAGAUAUUCGUGCGAUUCGAUUUGUUUUAA
RNAcentral lists this transfer RNA (71 nucleotides) under Panulirus homarus (Indian spiny lobster). RNAcentral describes it as "tRNA-Val". It matches the Rfam family "tRNA". From Rfam's summary of the family: Transfer RNA (tRNA) molecules are approximately 80 nucleotides in length. The record is from RNAcentral. RNAcentral also lists the same sequence under 1 other name. Lineage: Eukaryota; Metazoa; Arthropoda; Malacostraca; Decapoda; Palinuridae.